CGGCCCGACUCGGCACGACACCUGGGACGAGGGGGGGGAGCGAUUGGGGGUGGUGUUUGGGGGAACACCCAGACACACCUCGGCCCCGCUCGCCCGUUGGGGCAGCAGGAGGCGGCCCUCCGACGGCACGGGAUGCCCCGCUGGGUGCCGUCCCUGCCCCUUAGGGCCCGGUCGGAAAGGCAGAGCGCUGACCGGAGCAGGCACGGUGGAGGUGGAAGGAACAGAUCCUUCCCAAACCUACCCGCAUGUCGCGUAACCCCCGGAGCGAAGCGCUGCGCUCCUUUGAGAGGCACGCUUGGAAAGCAGCGCGGUCAAAGGAAGCCAGUCCUACACCUUACCUUCCCCUACCGCCUGAGCACACCUCGCCUCGGAGCGUGAACCUCUCGGGGCACGGCACCCUACUGAACCCACAGCAGACCAGCUAGGUAUCACCUACCUCCUUUUUCAUUACAUUACAAAUGGGGCUCCAGUAUUCCCCCAAAGCGUGCCUUUAGUGCUGAAGUCGACUCGGUUGUUCCUAAGUAGCACUUUGCAGUACACACUUUUUUUUUUUUUGCACUUGGCUUCAUACCAUGUGCACGCAGAAUGUCCACGAUUUCUCUGCUUUGCCCGAGUAAACCAACUGUACAGAUGCCUGCAGUACGUCGGUCACAUUAGAAUAAACGCAAAUUCUGUCUGGCUACUAUUUAUGAUUCUUUUUUUUGGCAUACAACCUAAUGUAAAAUACGUUGUUUUCAUGGGCGCUCUGAUUAAUAUUUGCAUUAUGUGGCGCCAUUAAAUGCAUCGGUGCUUACUUGAGAAACCGCCGGGCUUUAAACUGAAGAUCAAAGAGGUUUAUUUGGUUAAGGACACCUUUGUUUGGGCAACGGCUUCGAUCAAAUAAACCAAUAUUGUCGGGAUUCUCGCUGAAAUGAAAUGAAUGAAGCUAGCAUCACCGUUAAAGAACUCUAACAUCGCGUUUCCUCCUAGAAACCUGUUGCUUUACACUUGCCAGCCCAGCAGAUAUUCCGUAAAAGAAUAAAAAAGCAGAGGUGCAGGGGAGCAGGACUGACAUUAGGGAGGGUCAUUCUCGAGACGCUUCGCAUCCAUGCUCUCCACUCCUCCGCGUUUGUUACAGGCUAUAAACAAGCGAUGUAUUUCCAGACUUAGGAUACGCUGCAGUUAUUUAUAUGCAGAUAGACUAAAUCACUGCCAAAGGAGGAGCACCUGCCUAAAAGACAGCAAAAAAGAAAUUCUCAGUUUCUUCCCGCCUAAGCCCAUGCGUAAGUCCGGCAAUUCAAGCAAUUCAAGCAUCUCUUUUGUGUCUUUUUUUUUUUUUCCUUUUUCUUUACAUCUGGUGCUGUACAAAGGUGACAGAGUCGCAAACACCGUUGGUGCACAUCGUGCCUGUGUACACCGAGGGCAUAGUGGUGCACCACCAUGUAGCAUUCCCUACAGAAGUAUAAUGCCUUUAACACGGCUUGUUGAUGAAACCCCGGGACUGGUGGCACCGGGCAGGAGCUCAGCACCUUUCCAGCCGCUUUUCCUAGCUCAGCACCACUGGGACCCCAGCGUAGGCUCAAGGCUGGAGUGCCAGCGGCUUUGUUUUCGUGCCAUUCCCGGCCCGACGUGUGGAGGACUCGGGAGCCCUCAUCCCAGGCCAAUAGCCCGAGGGAAGCGCGAUGUCGGUGCAAGGCUGAGACCCGGGGAAAAGUCUAAAUUAAGCAGAAAAUGGAGCUUAUCUAGAGCAAAAUCACGCACGACGAGAAGGCACAGAGCAGCAGACACAGCUGAGAGGAGAAAGCGAGACAAGGUCCAAGGAAAACAAAAAGCGAGAAGGCAACAAUGCACUGCCCUAACGAAGUCGGUGCGUUCCCAGUGCCUUCCAGAUCAGUUCCCAGCUCACUGCCUGAUCCUGACUCGGGCAAAACUGACCACCUAGGAGCUUAACGCCUAGAAGAAGAAAUAUUUUCGCAAGCCAAGGGAACAAAUCCUGCAAGACCUGGCGCUGAUUAAGUAGAGGGCAUGCCUGCAAACACACUUCGCAGUAAUUUGGGGGCUGUCACUUCCAGCCGAAGAGAAAAUGUUUUUUUGCUAUAUAAUGAACAUGAGGUAAUAAACUAAGCAAACUGCCGCUGACUUUGUUCGGGAGAUUUGUGCAAACUGUUUCUACAGCUCAUUGAUCGAGGAUCAAAGAAGGAAAGUUACUUUUGAGCUGUAACUCCAAGCAGAGAGCACUGACCGGGAGCCGAGCUCGGCUCCCUCCUUACACCUCACUUCCCCGGGGCGUUUCGCAAAGCGCUGCUCCCGGCGCUCCCGAAACCUUCACGGUCGCACGAAUCCCGGGGUCAUUCGUUAACUUUCCCAACCCAACAAUGCCGCCGGGAGUUCAUCCUUCUGAUUUAUUGACCUUUUAAACCCGCCGGGACGCGGCGCGGGGAUCCUCCGGCGAGCGAUGUGUUUCUAUUUCAGAGCGCGGGGUUGGAAGUGGUGCUCCCAGCGUUAUCAGAGCCGACCACAAAUGCCACAUGAAAAGCAGCAAACAUCCGGAGGGUUUCCUGCAAACCGAGCAGUUUCUCAAGACAAGAGCCUUUUUUUUUUUUUUUUUUUUUUUUUUUUUUUUUUUUUAAACUCGUGUUUAAAGGCAGCACGCUUCGCCUCUUUUAAGCGGUUCAGACCCAUUAAAUGUAAGCCGCCGCUCCGACAGCACUGCAUGGGGCAAGAAAUCGCCCUGAAUGAAGAUUUUUUAAGGACGUUGCGUUAGGAAAGUGCUUGGAUCUCAGAGCCCCUGCUGCCCAGGGAUGACGCCCUACUGAAGCGAAGAAAUCAAAUCCCCCAAAACGAAAAAAUAUCCCCACUCCUCGCCCUCCCCCCAUUGGCAGCGAUGGAGAUCCAGGCUGCUCACCCGCAUAUCCCCUCAUUUUAUUUAAGGAUUAAUUGGUGAUGACAAAGAUCGCCACGAUCUUUGCUUUUUUCUCUGUGAAGUUAGGGAGCAGCCGCUGGACUGCAUCGGGAGGGCCCGGCACCGUCUCGGGUCUGGAGCCCUCGGGUUGGAGGCUGAGCUGUGCAGGGCCAAAAAGCGGUGCAACACCUGGGGCCGGGCAGAUACCCCGUGCCUGAAUUUCCAAGAACAGAAAUCCUGUUAGUUUUUAUGCUUCAGUAAACGCCAGCGAUAAGAUUAAAAAAAAAAAAAAAAAAAAAAAAAAAAAAAAAAAAAGCUUGAUACAAUGCUGGAGCUGCUCCAAAAGAUCAGGCAUCUGAACUAAACUAAACAGUUUGAGCUAGCCUAUUUGUAUUUAUUCUGGUUUUAUGUCAGUGGAGCUAACACAGGCUUGUAGCAGUGCAAGAUUUAUUGUGACAAGCUAGAUGCUCAAGUCGCAGCUUAGCGGAGGACAAUUCAUGUAACCAUGCAAUCAAAAAGCUGAUCCCAACUACACCGGAGUGAAAUGAAUUUCCUCCUUGCCAUCACCCAGCUCCCAUACGCUUACAACGGCCAGAACGAAAGAAAUAAAAUAUGCUCUAGAAGGUGGGAUACAUUGCUACAUAUUAGGAUGGUGGUUGCUAGCUUUAUAGCAUAUGUUUAUAUCUUGCGUUCUUCAGUAGCAAUAUUUCAGUGUUUCACACGUGAAAAGUUCUUUGUCUUUAGCCAGAAGAAAACUGCUGCAUUAUACAAACGAGAAAGUUGCUGGGGCUAAAGCUUAGGCAGGUAACGUGCUGUCACGCCAGCUACCUCUCAUGACAGCAGAGAUGAUCUGGGAUUUCAGCAUGUAAAUAAUCCUUCUGCUGGCAUUUAGCAGAAGUACAUAAAUGCUACUACCAAAAGUUUUGCAUGACAAUGACAACUCAAAUCUCAACAGCUAGCCUUUUGCAGUACUGAUCAAUCAACGGUAAUGAACAAGAUCAAAAAGAAAUUCAGAACAUAUUUAAAAUUGACAACACUACAGCUGAAUAAAACUGUAUAAAGCUAGACUGAUAACAUGAUACAUUUAUUUAAAAAAGAACCAUGCAAUCAAGCAAACAAACAA
Oxyura jamaicensis (ruddy duck) is the source of this 4004-nucleotide long non-coding RNA. RefSeq lists it as uncharacterized. The transcript has 3 exons. NCBI's taxonomy places the organism in Eukaryota, Metazoa, Chordata, Aves, Anseriformes, Anatidae. The record is from RefSeq and is a predicted model, not a curated record.